UUUUUCCAUAUUUCUUCAUUUAUUGAUUCUUAAGAUAAUUUAAAGGAUGGGCGUCCCUAUAUAGCUAAAAGAAAUUCUAGGUAUGUCUUAUUUACUCAUAGGCAGUGAUAGUAUAAAGAAUUCUUAUACAAUUAAUUAUAUACUUUUAUCAAAUAACUUUCCUCGUUUUUAAAUUACUAGUCGCACUUUUGUACACAGUUAUCAACGAUUAUCUUUUAAAACCACCUGUAGGCGAUACUUCUUAAUCAUAUAUCAUAUAUAUAUAAAAGCAGGUCAUAGGCCCGCUGACGUGGCGCAACACAAAUGUAGGGUUUUCAUUUAUCUUUUUCCUCAAAAUUUUGCCUUUUUACCUUAUUUAUUCCUGAUUUUUUCAUUAAAAUAAUAAAAGAGCAGAAAAGACACGUCUGUAUUCCUAGGUUUUCUUCCUACUUUUCGUUUACCUUCACGUUGAUUCGACUUAAGCGUCCCUUCGGCUACUGCGAGAUAAAAACAAGGCAAACUUUAACUGUUGCUUUCUCUCCAAAAAAACCUGCCAACGACGCUAUUUCAACCCAAAAACUCAAAAGAACAGAAAAUUAAAAGAGCAGAAAAUAAAAGCUUACCUUCUCUGAAUAUCCAAAGGCCAUGUACUGCAGUUUCAUUGCUGCAACUCUGCCCUUAGGUGAAUCGUUCUUCUUUUACAGUAUUCUCAUUUGUAAAGGUAUGUAUAUUCAUAUCCUCUGCCUUCCUGGUUUUCAAUUGUUUAUGUGCAUGCUUCAUUUGAACUUUUUGCUUAUUUCUUGCAAAUUGAAAAAAUGUUAAUCUUCUUGAUUUUUGUAUUCUUUAACAUUUUAACGUUAUGUAUUACUGUGCACAAACGAAUAGUACAUAAGUAAUGUACAAUUAUGGAAGGAAAACGAAAACUCCAAUAGUUUUUCCUGUUCUCUUGUGAGAUUGAACACAUUGAGCUUCGACAAGGUCAAUAGCUUAACUUUUUUUUUUUUUUUUUGGAAUACUUCGUGAGAAUUAUGUCUGAUUUUAAUAUUGGCUUUUUGAAUGAGUUUGGUGUAAAGCUAGCGAAAUCUUGAUCCUUCCUUGAUGUUCUUUAGGUUUCUCUUUCACUUUUUACCCUUUUGUUUCUUGCUUCUCACUUAAGGUAUGAAUCACAGCGAGAAAAACGCCACAAGUUUUUUACUUCAAUUAAUCCUCAGGCACGAGUAGCUAGGAGUACGUUUCAAGCCAAGAGAGAGGACUUUGGUUCUGAAAAUUUUGCUAUGUCUAUCUAGCUGGAAUCCAUUAUAUUGUACUUCUUCCGCCUUUAGACUAUUUCCCAAGGUAUCGAAGUUUCAUAUAUGUGGUAUCGAAGAAGAUUGUAGAAGUUGUAACAUGAACAACCUCUUCCGUGAUCUUUCAUCUGGAUUCCACCUUCGUCCACCCCCUUUGUUCCCUCCUCCUGCUAAUGUUUUUUUCACAAAAAAAAUAAUACUUAUGCUUUUAACAGAGUUUCUUUACACCGGAAGGAUUUGAGCACUAUUGGUAAGUGUCCAAACUGGAGGCUCUUAAAUUAGUAUGUGUUUAAAGGCAAGGAAUGGGACGUAUUUGAGGGAAGAUUUCCUAUGAAAUUCUUGCUACUGAAACGUUUGGCCAUUCAAUACUGGAGAGCCCAUGGUGAUCACUUUCUAUGCGUGAACGAUUAUUUGUCAAAGCUUGCUGGUACUUGGAUUCCAUCCCUCAAGAUUUCUUAUAAAUAACCACAUUUGAGCUAAUAGAUAUAAGCGGCUGACAAUCUAUUGGAGCUCCACCAAGCAGAUUCAACAGGACAUUGAAGACAAUUACACAAGUUUUUUAGAGACAAAUUGGAACCGCUUCUUUGCAAUACAAGUUAUGCUAAAGGAUUUGUCAAGAAUUUGAAGGGCUCGCAAGGAAAUGAAAGAAGUUCACAUUGCUAUUGAGCUGGAUGAAAUAUACAGAGAUGAAUGACUACAUUACCUUUUCAUAAUAUUUAAUUGGAAUACCAUUCAACAAUUUAUUUACCAGUAUUUAUUUGGAACAUCAAGUAAUAAAUAUUUGUCAAUGUGGUAAUACAAUUGAUGUACUCUUUUUAUUUUUUUAUUAGGUAUUUUUUUUAUUUUUUUUAUUAUGUAGUAUUAUUUUUAUAAUGAUUAAAAAGUUCUCCUUUUUUCUGUUAAGCAAAUCGACCUUUUGACAAAUCGAAGAGAGAAAAGAGACUUGGUCUUUGUCUUGCUAUAUGUUUAUAUGAGAAAAGAAGAAAUUUUGCUUUGUUCUGUUUUUUAUUUGAGAAAUUGAUCAAGUACCAAAUUUGAGAGUUCUGCCUUUUUACGAAUUAGCCUUUGGAUGCAAGUUUUGCGGAAAGAAGUUUUUGCAUAAAUUGGAUUA
RNA transcript from Lycium barbarum (goji berry), 2376 nucleotides. It is a transcript of the gene named bidirectional sugar transporter SWEET4-like, with no coding region annotated. The record is from RefSeq and is a predicted model, not a curated record. The transcript has 3 exons. Lineage: Eukaryota; Viridiplantae; Streptophyta; Magnoliopsida; Solanales; Solanaceae.